Molecule: ribosomal RNA, 253 nt
Filed under: uncultured bacterium
Lineage: Bacteria
Description: partial 16S ribosomal RNA
Rfam family: Bacterial small subunit ribosomal RNA
Source: RNAcentral
UACAGAGGGUGCAAGCGUUAAUCGGAAUUACUGGGCGUAAAGCGCGCGUAGGUGGUUCGUUAAGUUGGAUGUGAAAUCCCCGGGCUCAACCUGGGAACCGCAUUCAAAACUGACGAGCUAGAGUAUGGUAGAGGGUGGUGGAAUUUCCUGUGUAGCGGUGAAAUGCGUAGAUAUAGGAAGGAACACCAGUGGCGAAGGCGACCACCUGGACUGAUACUGACACUGAGGCGCGACAGCGUGGGGAGCAAACAGG